UCGCACGAGAAAGUGGAGCAAUCCAUGAGUACAGUGGCGUACGGGUGAGUAACACGUGGAUCAUCUACCUCUUGAUGGGGAAUAACCCUGGGAAACCGGGGCUAAUACCGCAUAAGCCUGUAAAGGGAAAGCAGCAAUGCGUCGAGAGAGGAGUCCGCGGCCGAUUAGCUAGUUGGUAGGGUAAAAGCCUACCAAGGCAAUGAUCGGUAGCCGGCCUGAGAGGGCACACGGCCACACUGGCACUGAAACACGGGCCAGACUCCUACGGGAGGCAGCAGUGGGGAAUCUUGCACAAUGGAGGAAACUCUGAUGCAGCGACGCCGCGUGAGCGAUGAAGCCCUUCGGGGUGUAAAGCUCUUUCGGCAGGAACGAUAAUGACGGUACCUGCAGAAGAAGCUGCGGCUAACUACGUGCCAGCAGCCGCGGUAAUACGUAGGCAGCAAGCGUUGUUCGGAAUUACUGGGCGUAAAGAGUGUGUAGGCGGUUCUCUAAGUUCCGUGUGAAAUCUCCCGGCUCAACUGGGAGGGUGCGCGGGAAACUGGAGGGCUCGAGUAUGGGAGAGGAAAGCGGAAUUCCUGGUGUAGCGGUGAAAUGCGUAGAUAUCAGGAGGAACACCUGCGGUGUAGACAGCUUUCUGGACCAUCACUGACGCUGAGACACGAAAGCGUGGGUAGCAAACAGGAUUAGAUACCCUGGCAGUCCACGCCCUAAACGAUGCAUACUUGGUGUGAGCCGUUCAUUCGGUUCGUGGCGGAGCUAACGCGUUAAGUAUG
This 773-nucleotide ribosomal RNA is filed under the name uncultured bacterium. RNAcentral describes it as "bacterial SSU rRNA". It matches the Rfam family "Bacterial small subunit ribosomal RNA", at positions 62 to 868 of the family's 1533-position model. The record is from RNAcentral.